GAUGAACGCUGGCGGCGUGCCUAAUACAUGCAAGUCGAGCGAACAGACGAGGAGCUUGCUCCUCUGACGUUAGCGGCGGACGGGUGAGUAACACGUGGAUAACCUCCCUAUAAGACUGGGAUAACUUCGGGAAACCGGAGCUAAUACCGGAUAAUAUAUUGAACCGCAUGGUUCAAUAGUGAAAGACGGUUUUGCUGUCACUUCUAGCUGGAUCCGCGCCGCAUUAGCUAGUUGGUAAGGUAACGGCUUACCAAGGCAACCAUGCGUAGCCGACCUGAUAGGGUGAUCGGCCACACCGGAAGUGAGACACGGUCCAGGGUCCUACGGGAGGCAGCAGUAGGGAAUCGGCCGCAAUGGGCGAAAGCUUGACGGAGCAACGCCGCGUGAGUGAUGAAGGUCUUCGGAUCGUAAAACUCUGUUAUUAGGGAAGAACAAAUGUGUAAGUAACUAUGCACGUCUUGACGGUACCUAAUCAGAAAGCCACGGCUAACUACGUG
Molecule: ribosomal RNA, 497 nt
Filed under: uncultured bacterium
Lineage: Bacteria
Description: partial 16S ribosomal RNA
Rfam family: Bacterial small subunit ribosomal RNA
Source: RNAcentral